RNAcentral lists this microRNA precursor (104 nucleotides) under Canis lupus familiaris (dog). Its description in RNAcentral is "mir-8834 microRNA precursor family". It matches the Rfam family "mir-8834 microRNA precursor family". Lineage: Eukaryota; Metazoa; Chordata; Mammalia; Carnivora; Canidae. The record is from Rfam by way of RNAcentral. RNAcentral also lists the same sequence under 1 other name.
AGGAGGAACAGCCCCAGUGGCGGGGCAGCUCUGGAAACCUGGAUUCAGCUCCGGCAGGAACUCCGGAGGUCUCCGUCUGCAGGGCCUGGAGGCUCCGGGGCGGG